CCUACGGGAGGCAGCAGUGGGGAAUAUUGGGCAAUGGGCGCAAGCCUGACCCAGCAACGCCGCGUGAAGGAAGAAGGCUUUCGGGUUGUAAACUUCUUUUGUCAGGGAAGAGUAGAAGACGGUACCUGACGAAUAAGCCACGGCUAACUACGUGACAGCAGCCGCGGUAAUACGGAGGUGGCAAGCGUUGUCCGGAUUUACUGGGUGUAAAGGGCGUGUAGCCGGGUUGACAAGUCAGAUGUGAAAUUCUGCGGCUUAACCGCAGAACUGCAUUUGAAACUGUUGAUCUUGAGUACAGGAGGGGCAGGUGGAAUUCCUGGUGUAGCGGUGAAAUGCGUAGAUAUCAGGAGGAACACCGGUGGCGAAGGCGGCCUGCUGGACUGCAACUGACGUUGAGGCCCGAAAGCGUGGGGAGCAAACAGGAUUAGAUACCCGUGUAGUC
RNAcentral lists this ribosomal RNA (442 nucleotides) under uncultured bacterium. RNAcentral's name for it is "partial 16S ribosomal RNA". It matches the Rfam family "Bacterial small subunit ribosomal RNA", at positions 338 to 795 of the family's 1533-position model. The record is from RNAcentral.